GACGAACGCUGGCGGCGUGCCUGACACAUGCAAGUCGUACGGUCCGUGAUUGAUCAAGCUUGCUUGAUUGGUCGUGGAUAGUGGCGGACGGGUGAGUAACGCGUGAACACCUACCCAUUGGAGGGGUACAACCCGUCGAAAGGCGGGCUAAUACCGCGUAAGCCGCGAGGUGAAAGGCUGCCUUUUGGUGGCUGCCGAUGGAUGGGUUCGCGUCCUAUCAGCUUGUUGGUGGGGUAAUGGCCUACCAAGGCGAAGACGGGUAGCCGGUCUGAGAGGAUGGCCGGCCACACUGGAACUGAGACACGGUCCAGACUCCUACGGGAGGCAGCAGUGGGGAAUAUUGCACAAUGGGCGAAAGCCUGAUGCAGCAACGCCGCGUGAGUGAUGAAGGCCUUAGGGUUGUAAAGCUCUUUUACCAGGGAUGAUAAUGACAGUACCUGGAGAAUAAGCUCCGGCUAACUCCGUGCCAGCAGCCGCGGUAAUCUCGUCUCUAC
This 494-nucleotide ribosomal RNA is filed under the name uncultured bacterium. RNAcentral's name for it is "bacterial SSU rRNA". It matches the Rfam family "Bacterial small subunit ribosomal RNA", at positions 28 to 535 of the family's 1533-position model. The record is from RNAcentral.